UACGUAGGGUCCGAGCGUUGUCCGGAAUUAUUGGGCGUAAAGAGCUCGUAGGCGGUGUGUCGCGUCGGCCGUGAAAACCUGCAGCUUAACUGUGGGCUUGCGGUCGAUACGGGCAUCACUGGAGUUCGGCAGGGGAGACUGGAAUCCCUGGUGUAGCGGUGAAAUGCGCAGAUAUCAGGAGGAACACCGGUGGCGAAGGCGGGUCUCUGGGCCGAUACUGACGCUGAGGCGCGAAAGCGUGGGGAGCAAACAGG
RNAcentral lists this ribosomal RNA (254 nucleotides) under uncultured bacterium. Its description in RNAcentral is "partial 16S ribosomal RNA". It matches the Rfam family "Bacterial small subunit ribosomal RNA", at positions 524 to 776 of the family's 1533-position model. The record is from RNAcentral.